This 305-nucleotide ribosomal RNA is filed under the name Bacteroidota bacterium. RNAcentral describes it as "Bacteroidetes bacterium (activated sludge metagenome) partial 23S ribosomal RNA". It matches the Rfam family "Bacterial large subunit ribosomal RNA", at positions 2609 to 2925 of the family's 2925-position model. The record is from RNAcentral. Lineage: Bacteria; Pseudomonadati; Bacteroidota.
GUUCAGAACGUCGUGAGACAGUUCGGUGCAUAUCUGCUGUGGGCGUUGGAAACUUGAAUGGAUCUGCUCCUAGUACGAGAGGACCGGAGUGGACGAACCGCUAGUGUACCUGUUGUGGCGCCAGCUGCAUCGCAGGGUAGCUAUGUUCGGAAGGGAUAAGCGCUGAAAGCAUCUAAGCACGAAACCCACCAUGAGAUGAAGUUUCCCCUAUGGGUCGUUCGAGAUGAGGACGUUGAUAGGCGGUAGGUGUACGCACAGUAAUGUGUUCAGCCAAGCCGUACUAAUUACCCAUGAGGCUUAAACCG